Clupea harengus (Atlantic herring) is the source of this 2629-nucleotide long non-coding RNA. Lineage: Eukaryota; Metazoa; Chordata; Actinopteri; Clupeiformes; Clupeidae. The record is from Ensembl.
CCUGAGCUUUUGUGAAGGCGCGUCUAAAAUAGAAUAACAAACAUAAUUAGAUAGGGAAUGGUUUUAAAUAAUUGCCUGCAUCUUUGACUUCCGUCGCAUAUAUUCUGCCUCACACGUCUUACUUUCAAUAGCUGCGCGCGACACGUGUUGGAUCUCUUUGCAGUCGGGGCUCUGAAAGAUCUGCACGUUAGGUCCUCGAUAUUGGAGUUGAAGUCAGUAUGCUCUGGAUCUCCUGUUUAAAACGGCCCCUCCCAACGGGGUCAACAUGGCUGAUGCAUGGUCAGUGUAUCAGUUUUGCGGGAUGUCUUUCACCGCAUACACGAAGUACCACCUGGAAAGACAUGCCAUGUUGAGUCGGCUCCAUGGCAACCAGAUGGAGUCCAAUGGCCAUCAGAUCUUAAUCUGUGUGAGAUUAUGCUUGAAUACUCAUGGAAUCAUCUAGAUGGCCCUGCUUUACAUCUAGCAAGAAUAAUCACUGUACUGAUGGAGUGACCAUUUCCUUUAAGAUGAAGCAUGCCAACGGCACAUUUCUAUUGGCUGCUUUGCGCUGAGGUGAUCGUUCAGUUCUGAGUGCUCAACUGUCAUCUAGAAAUGGAGACGUCACUCCUGAUGUGAUGAAAUGAUCUUUGAGGUUUGGUUCUGAGUGCUCAACUGUUUCAUCUAGAAAUGGAGAUGUCACUCCUGAUGUGAUGGAACAAUCAUUGGGUGCAUCGGUUUUGCGGGUUGUCAUCACCGCAUAAACAAAGUACCACCUGGAAAGACAUGCCAUGUUGAGUCGGCUCCAUGGCAACCAGAUGGAGUCCAAUGGCCAUCAGAUCUUAAUCUGUGAGAUUAUGCUUGAAUACUCCUGGGAUCAUCUGGGUGGCCCUGCUUUACAUCUUGGUAGCACGAAUAAUGGAGAUAUUAUCACUGUACUGAUGGAGUGACCAUUUCCGUUAAGAUGAAGCAUGGCAACGGCACAUUUCUAUUGGCUGCUGUGCGCUGAGGUGAUCGUUCAGGGUCAGUUCUGAGUGCUCAACUGUCAUCUAGAAAUGGAGACGUCACUCCUGAUGUGAUGGAACGAUCAUUAGGAUUAUGCUUGAAUACUCAUGGAAUCAUCUAUAUGGCCCUGCUUUACAUCUUGGUAGCAAGAAAAAUUAAUGUACUGAUGGAGUGACCAUUUCCGUUAAGAUGAAGCAUGCCAACGGCACAUUUCUAUUGGCUGCUUUGUGCUGAGUUCUGAGUGCUCAACUGUUUCAUCGAGAAAUGGAGAUGUCACUCCUGAUGUGAUGGAACGAUUAUUGGGAUUAUGCUUGAAUACUCAUGGAAUCAUCUAUAUGGCCCUGCUUUACAUCUUGGUAGCAAGAAAAAUUAAUGUACUGAUGGAGUGACCAUUUCCGUUAAGAUGAAGCAUGCCAACGGCACAUUUCUAUUGGCUGCUUUGCGCUGAGUUCUGAGUGCUCAACUGUUUCAUCUAGAAAUGGAGACGUCACUCCUGAUGUGAUGGAAUGAUUAUUGGGAUUAUGCUUGAAUCUGGAUGGCCCUGCUUUACAUCUUGGUAGCAAGGAUAAUCACUGUACUGAUGGAGUGACCAUUUCCGUUAAGAUGAAGCAUGGCAACGGCACAUUUCUAUUGGCUGCUUUGCGCUGAGAUUAUGCUUGAAUACUCCUGGAGUCGUCUGGAUGGCCCUGCUUUACAUCUUGGUAGCAAGAAUAAUGGAGAUAUUAUCACUGUACUGAUGGAGUGACCAUUUCCUUUCAGAUGAAGCAUGGCAACGGCACAUUUCUAUUGGCUGCUUUGUGCUGAGGUGAUCGUUCAGUUCUGAGUGCUCAACUGUCAUCUAGAAAUGGAGACGUCACUCCUGAUGUGAUGAAAUGAUCUUUGAGGUGACUGAUCAGUUCUGGUUUUACAAUUCAGAGAAGUGACAUUUAACAGAAUGAACUCAACAUUAUGCUUGAAUACUCCUGGAAUCUGGAUGGCCCUGCUUUACAUCUUGGUAGCAAGAAUAAUCACUGUACUGAUGAAGUGACCAUUUCCGUUAAGAUGAAGCAUGGCAACGGCACAUUUCUAUUGGCUGCUUUGCGCAGAGGUGAUUGUUCAGGUUCGGUUCUGAGAGCUCAACUGUCAUCUAGAAAUGGAGACGUCACUCCUGAUGUGAUGACAUGAUCUUUGAGGUGACUGGUCAGUUCUGGUUCUACAAUUUCAAGAAGUUCCAUUUAACAGAAUGGACUCGUAUUUGCCAUGUCAUCGAUGACCACAACCUGCACGGCAUCAAGACGACUGAUUUAAGAUCAUGAUUGAUAAUAACACUAACAUGAUCGAUAAUAACACAUAUUUACCCGUUCCAAAAAAGUCUCAAUUCUGAUUAUCAUAAGCAUUGAUUUCACCCAAAUGUAGGGAUCUAUAUCUGUAGGGAUCUGUUAUUAUGUUUUAAAAUGCCAUUUACAUGAAGGAGUAUUCUAUGACCAUGUUCCUCUAAAAACAUUGAAGCUUGAGUUAGAAGUACAGCAGUGUCAUGUUUUAAGAAACCUUUUUUCUGUGUAUGCUGUAGUGGGGGUUAGAAUGGACUACUUGCCGCAAAAGUCAUGUGUAUUGUGUGCUGAAUAUAACAUUUAUGUUGUGUGUUUGUGGAAUUUAAUAAAUAAAGCUG